Molecule: ribosomal RNA, 512 nt
Filed under: uncultured bacterium
Lineage: Bacteria
Description: partial 16S ribosomal RNA
Rfam family: Bacterial small subunit ribosomal RNA
Source: RNAcentral
GAUGAACGCUGGCGGCGUGCCUAAUACAUGCAAGUCGAACGAAACUUCUUUAUCACCGAGUGCUUGCACUCACCGAUAAAGAGUUGAGUGGCGAACGGGUGAGUAACACGUGGGCAACCUGCCCAAAAGAGGGGGAUAACACUUGGAAACAGGUGCUUAUACCGCAUAACCAUAAUUACCGCAUGGUAACCAUGUAAAAGGUGGCUAUACUAUCGCUUUUGGAUGGGCCCGCGGCGCAUUAACCAGUUGGUAGGGUAAAGGCUUACCAAGGCAAUGAUGCGUAGCCGAAUUGAGAGGUUGAUCGGCCACAUUGGGACUGAGACACGGCCCAAACUCCUACGGGAGGCAGCAGUAGGGAAUCUUCCACAAUGGGCGAAAGCCUGAUGGAGCAACGCCGCGUGGGUGAAGAAGGUCUUCGGAUCGUAAAACCCUGUUGUUAGAGAAGAAAGUGCGUGAGAGUAACUGUUCACGUUUCGACGGUAUCUAACCGGAAAGCCACGGCUAACUACGUG